AAUUGGACCUAACUAAAGACUUUGUUUAUGACAUUGAUGCUAAAACACCAGAAAUUAAGGCUCAAAAUGUGGGGUUAGUCACAACCUUAACGGAGAAAGAUUUUCCUUUUAUUAAGGAUGUUGGGUUAAGUGUGAUUAGGGUUAAACUUGAACCUAAUGCUAUUAAGGCACCAUCAAACCUAAUUACCCCUGGGAUUCAGUUAAUUUACAUUGCUAGAGGAAGUGGAAAAAUUGAAAUUGUGGGAAUCAAUGGAAAACGUGUCUUGGAUGCUCAAGUUAAGGCUGGUCAUUUGAUUGUUGUGCCACAUUUUUUUGUGGUUGCUCAAAUUGCAGGUGAAGAAGAAGGAAUGGAGAGUUACUCUAUUGUGACAACUACCAAGUAAGUUAGAGUUUUAAAUGAGAAAUCAAAAUCACAAGUAACUCGACCAUUUUAAAUUGAAUUUAUUUAUCCAACGAAUUCAAUUUUUUAUUCAACUUAAACUCAUUUGAUUCGUAUAUUUUUUACAGACCUUUGUUUGAAGAGUUAGCCGGAAAGACAUCAGUAUGGGGAGCCUUGUCACCUAAUGUGCAACAAGUGUCUUUCAAUGUGGAUUCUGAGUUUAAUAAACUUUUCAUAUCUAAGGCCACAGAAACCACAAGUCUCAUUCUCCCUACCAUUUAGUUUGACUUGUUUAUAGUAUACCCCAAUAAUAUUCUUAUGUGUGGAAUAUUUCUUUUAUUGAAUAUGUGUGGAAUUUAUGUAAUAAGGUGUUUGAUUUUUUUAUUUUUUUUGUUAAUUAAUAAACCCUACCCAAAUGGUGGGUAGAGUUUGUAUGCCAUGAUGUUACAUCCAGGCACCACCAUUUAUAAAUUUUAAUUAUCGGAAAAAAAAAAAAGUUCUAUGAUAAGUAUAAAUAUUGAUUAAUGUGAAUUGUGAAACUACAUGGACAUCCAACCAUGAUAAGCUUAAUGUAUUUUGGUAAUACAUACGCAACAUGAUCUUAGUAUAUGUGAAUGUCGUGUCAAACAUGAGAUGUUGUAGAAGAGUUAUGAGCCUAGGGAAAGCUAUUGACUAAUCCAACUUAACUCUUAUCACUUGAACCCAAAGUCUGAAGGUGUUGUUAAAAAUAAUGAUAAUUAGAAAAUAAUGAUAAUUAGUUAGUAGUUUAGGUGAUUAGUUAAUUACUUGGUUGGUUAGUUAAGCUCCAAAUAUGUUUUGUUUUUAAGGGGUAUGCUCCAAGUAUGUUCUAUAAAUAGAAUAUUAAUGUAUUCAUUUUUAAAGUAUCUUUUAUCGAAAUUAGUCUCUGAGUUUGUUUGUUUUAUUUCUUCUUUAAAUAUCUAUAUAUAAAAAAGCAACCACAAAUCCCUCCAAAAUCUAAUUGAUGUGUCCUUCCUUAGUUUUACAUCGUCUGCUAAUCAAUUAAGAUGUAUGUCUUCAGACCUCUCAAUUGACAAUGAACAUUUCUUUUUAGACUCUUCAAUACCUCUAAGGUCUCUUAAAUAUGGUAGUUACGGGCUUUAGAGAUAUUAGAGAACGUAAGGAGAAACGUCCAUUGACAUAAAUCAAACCAUCAUGAGGAUUGUUUCAACCUAUUGACAUAAAUUUAUUUUUGGAUACUUGAAAGGAUUUCAUGUUACACACCACUUAUAUAUAAUUUUUUAAUAUUUGAAAAACACUCAAAUCUCUAACCCAACACCUCACACACAUUUCUUAAACAAGACCAACUAAACAUCUAUCAAUAGUUCUAUGUCUUUAUAUUUUAUUUUUUAAAAUAUUAAAGAGACGUAAGAUCCACUUAGAGAGAUGACUUAGUAAAACUCAUUUACUCUAUAAACCUCACUUGACUUUUCUAUCCAGUUAGGGUGUCUAUUAGGAAUAAAAGGCUGAUGAAGUUAAGCCUCCCUUUUAUUGAUGGUCUUAACCCAACAAACUUUAGGGUUCUGCUAUAUAACUAUUAUAUAAUUUCCUUUUUCAUAUCCUUAAUCAGUGCCUCGGAGGCAGCGGUUAGUAUUUCCCCAAACUUUAUUCACAUCAUUGCACUAUAAUGAGAAGAUAAAUUAAUUUUCUGUUCUAAUAAUAAAUUUGAAAAAAAAUUAAUAUAAAUAUAAAUUAUUCCAAAUUUAAUAUUACUCUCAAUUUUUUUAAUUUUAGCAAUAAAUAAAUAUAAAAGAAAAAUGUUAACGAGUGCUCCCGGGGUACUCUUUAAGCUAUCAAAAACAAGAAAUUAUUCUUUAAAAAAGUCAAAUAUUUCGAUUUCCAAAACAUUAAUUACAUGCAUUUUCAUAAUAUUCUUACUACUUAUGGUUCUUAAAGAGUUAACAAGACCCUAUAUAUUUAUAGAUGAAGAUUGUAAAAGUAUAGGAUAAAAGCACAUGUGAUGAAGCAUGAGUACGAUUGCACAAAAUAAAAAGGGUAUAUAUGGUGACAAUGGUGCAAUGUAAGAAUGAUCAUGAUUGAAAGGGAAAAUACAAAAGGGUAUAUAUGGUGUAUGUUGAAUGGGACAACUUCGGUGUCUCUAUUAUUGACGCUGUGUUGGACAAUGUUAGGAAGAAAACUAAGUCUGUAUUACUCAUUUGAUUUUCAACGGUUUUUAAGAUUUUGAUGACCUAAAACGAAACUAUAAUUUGGAUCCUAAUUAAUAAAUAGUAUUAAAAGUAAUUUUUUAUUACGUUGAGAAAUAAUCUAAUAAAAACAUUAGACUUUAUAUAAAAAAUAUUAAAUUUUUUAUUUAAUAUUCAAUUGAUCUAAUAGAGGUGGACCAAUUCAUUAUUGAGGGGAUGCAACUGUACACUUUAAAAUUUUUAAUUUUUCUUUUCAUUUUGAACCCCUCACAUUUUCAUUUUGCAUCAAUAAAUGUAUUUUUCACCGACGAAACCUAUCAUUUUUCACCUUGUUGUUGUUGACUGACAACUGACAUAUACAUGCAAUGGUACAAUGUUAACUGAAAAUUUUAUUUUUUGUUACAAUGUUAAUUGUAAUUUUUUGUUUACAAGGCGAAUGAGACAAACCAAACAAGAAAAGAAACGGAACAAAAGAAACAAAUUACUCCCUAAGGAAGAAAGUUCCAGAAGCAACGUUCCUUAGCAAAUUGAGAAGACCAUUUGGAGGGGAUGCAUGAAUUAACAAGUCAUGGUUCCCUUCUCUAAGGGUGUGAUAAAUAAAGACUUUGCUUUAAGAAAUAAGUUCUUUAAUGUACUGAAUUAAAACAAUAUAGAAAUGAUACUUCACAAAGGGGUCAUUGAUGAGGUUAAUGCAGAGAAGAUAAUCUGAGUAGUAUACAAACUCAUCAAUACCCAAGUCUUUGGCAGUGAUGAAAUCUUUGUAAAUUUCAGAAGUUCAGCGAACAUAAUAUAAAAAGAACAUGUAAGGUGAGUUGACAAAGCCGAUAAAAAGAAACCUAAAUUAUUUCAAAGGACGCCUCUAAAACCAGCCCUGGAUGAAGACCCAAGACAACUCUCAUCCACAUUUAGAAUGACACACUGAUGAUUACUAUUAUUCCACUUGAUUAAACAAUCAUCUGAAGCAACAUUAACAUUGUACGAGAAGCUAUACUUGAGGACUUCUACCGUAUUGAAUAUUGAAAAAGAGGCGGUUUAAGGACAUUGUUUUGCUAUUCAAGCACAUCAAAUUUCGGUGUCUCCAAGCCCAUCAAACACACGGUGAAAAGAUGAUUGAUUGUUGUUCCGGACUAGGCCGAGGCCCAAUCUCGGUUAAGACCCGACUCCAACUGAGAUUCAUUGCAGAGUGAAUCCAUAUUAUGGACAUGCACUAAAACCCACUAGAUCAUUGUCUAAACCUUUAACAUGGACUGUCCAGUUCAGAUCCAAUGUCGUGAUUAUUUCUAGAACACCAUUCAGGACACAUGUCCAAGUGAAGGCCUAACAGCCAAAAGCCCAUUUACCCACUAUAUAUACUAUUGCACAAUAUUGGAUCAUCUAUCUCCCUCUUUUCCCUAAUAUUUGAUUUCACUCUUUGAGCGUCAUAGCACGUGUAAGUACACCACCCUUCUUCGGUUGAGAAGGACUUACGACAGACUAUGACGGACCCAUGAUAGAUUACUCACUCUUCUUAGUAGCACUCAACAUAAUAAAUAUUAUUUAUAGGACUAAAAUAAAAUUAGUUAAAUAUUUUUUUUGUCCCUACAAAAUGAAGACCUUUUAAAUUUAAUUUUACUUAAUUUUAAUUGUUCUUUUAGUUCUUUCAAAAAAAUUCUACACAGUCUUAGUCCUUGAUAAAAUUAAAUAUGUUUAAUUACUCUUUAACGCAACUCUUAUGUUUUUAAACCAUUUUUUGCUAAAAUAUUUAAAUAUUAUAAAAAGUUUCUCCAUAAAAAUAAGUUCAAAUUUUAUUUCUAGGUCUAAAUUUUAGUUACUUUUUUCCUUGAAAAAAAUCAUAUUUAAUUAAUCUAAACUCUUAAAUUUUUUAAUAGGUUUUUAAAAGACAUGUUCAGAAAUUAUAAAUAGUAUAUUUAAUAAAAAAAAAAUUACGAAAUUUGGUAAAAGAGAGUGCCGUACCGUUUUGCUCAUCCGUGAAAUUUAGUAUGCACCGAAUUCGUACCAUUCAACAUUUCUCAAAAAAUUAAUACAUUGUUAAAUGACCAAAACUUUGCUUUUUUCCUGUUUUAUGUUUUGGUCCUGUUACAUACAAAACAAAACUAGGUAAUAUGGUCCUAUUACAGUAAAUUUCUUUUCAGACGCUACAGUGACCUAUCCUAUGUUGUGCAGGGACGCCACUCACUUGAUUGAAUUAUUGCUCUGUACGUUUGCAUUGAGGAAAAGAGUUUUCUUUUUCUUCUUUAACAAAAGAGUUAAGAGGACUAGCGUUCAAAGAAAACAAAGAACAAACUAAAACAUGAAUUUAACAUUUUUAAGCAUAUAAGCCUAUUUAAUAUUAUAAAAAAAAAAUUCUAAAUCUCGUUAGGAAAAGUUUUCAUAACAUGAAUGUUUCUUGAUUAUGUCGAAAUGAUAAAAUUAACAAGCUAACCAACACUCUGAUUUUCCUUCUAUAAAAUAUGUUAAAUGUCUAAUUUAAACAUGCCAACUCAAGAAUAACAUACAAUGAAUGCGACACAUCAAAGCAAGAGGAGCAGCCCUCUUAAUCAUGUUGUUAUGUCUCAUCUCAAAUCAUAUCUACAAGAAUCUUUGAAUCACUUUGUAAAACGAAAAGGGGUAUUGACACUCUCUUUUUAACAAUAUCUAUAACACUUACUCUUUUAUCGGAUAAAAUUCAUGUGGAUACAACACAUUUAAAAUGGAUCCCACAUAAAGUGAUAAUACACAUGGGUUCAUCCAAUAGAAAUUGAGUGUUAAAAGAGACAGCUAAAAACAGAGUGUUUCUAACAUUUUUCUUUACAACAAGAAAAACAAAUCUACAAUUAUUACCACAAGCUUUCCAAAUUACAUCAAUCGAAAAAAAUUUUGGCUUAAAUUCUAGCAUAUAUUUGUUUUUUUACUAAAGAAUAUUGUGUGUAUCAGGUAAAACCAAUAAUUUAUGAUUUGUUUGUUAUAAAUUAAAAUAAAAGUGAUUUUAUCAGUGAAUAAUUUAGAGAUUUAAAAGGAAAAUUAAGAUCUAUUUUGCGUUUGUUUAAAAAAGAAAUGUUACAAAAUUAACUCAAUCUUUCACACUUAUUUUCUCUCAUCUAGAAGAAUCUGGUUUUUAGAAGCUACUUCUAACAACUUCUAAUUCAAAGUUGUUUUUAUAUUAUAUCUUUUUAAAAAGUUGUAAAAUAGAUGCAAUACUCUUAAAAAUAAUUAUUAAAAAAAAAAAAAUUCCCUUCAAAAAGUUAUUUGAAAUGGACUCUUAAUUUAUAAUUUAUAAGCUCACAUGACAAAAAAAAAAAAAAAAAAACUUGUUUGAUAUUUCUAUUUUAUUAAAAAUUUAUAACUUAUUCCAAAGGUCGAUCCAAGAGUAAUGCCGCCAAUGCCCUCACUUUAGACCUAUCAACAAAAAGUUAAUGAUUAAGUGUUUUUUCACUAAGUAUAAACAAUGAAAUGAAGAUAAAUAUACAAUUUUAGCGAAUUAAAUUAACUUAAUAAUAAUAUAUAAAAGAUAUAUCAAAUUAAUAAAUUAAGUCACUAAUUUCUAAAUACUUUAGUAUUAUUUGAUAUACAUUUUAUUAUGAUUUAAGGAUAUUAUUUUAUGUUAUUUUAUAUUCAUCUUCUAAUUAAACCGCUAAUUUUACAACCCUUUAAUUAACUUAUCAAUUAUAACCUAUCCCCUAUUUUACAUCUCUCUUAUUUUCCAAGCCAAUCAUAAGCAAUCAACAACUUGGAACAGUAUCCUACUUCAUAUAUAUAUAUACCUCCCUCAGUCUUGAACUCAUGAACUGAGCUUGCGCGUUCACACUAUAUUUUUGAACUAAGGAACACUGAUAUUUAUAAAUUUUGAAAAGCUUUUUUAGGGGAGAAAAAAUUCAAUGGAGUUGGACCUAACACCUAAGGCAGCACAACCAUUGUUUGAAGGAGAUGGUGGUUGUUACUACAUUUGGUUAAGUUCUCAAGUUCCAGUUUUGGCUAAGACCAAUGUUGGUGCUGCCCAUCUUGUGCUUCACCCAGGAGGCUUAGCUCUUCCCCAUUAUGGAGAUUGUUCCAAAGUUGGUUACGUCGUAGAAGGUAAUAUUAGAGAAAUCUUAAACUAUUAAGUUUUGGCUUAAAUAUGUAUUUCCUUUCAAUUAAGGGUCGUUUAAAAAUUGGUCUAUGUAAUCGCUAAUCCUGACAAUUUACCCUUGCAUUGUUUAAUCAUUUAAAAUUUCGUCCCUCUCCCCACUUAAUCACUGCCACGUCACUAAUUUGAUGACGUGACAAUCACUGUCAUACAUGAAAUUUCAAUUUUACCCUUGAGCUUCCAAUUCUCUCUUCAAUAUUUUGUCCUCUUCUUAAAGGCAAAAUUGGAAUUUCACGUGUGAUAGUGAUUGCCACGUCAUCAAAUUAGUGACGUGGCAGUGAUUAAGUUGGUCAAAGGACGAAAUUUUAAAUGAUUAAUGAUUGCAAGGCUAGUUUGCAAGGAUUAGCAAAUACAUAGACCAAUUUUUAAACGAUAUCUAAUUGCAACGAUGAAAUACAUAUUUAAGCCUUAAGUUUUUUAUAAUGAAUGUGUUUAGUUAUUUAUUCAAAUGUCCUCAAAUGCAUGCAGGGACUAAUGGUGUAGUUGGAAUGAUACUCCCCAGCACCGGAAAAGAAGUAGUUUUGAAGCUUAAGCAAGGAGACAUUGUACCAGUACCCAUUGGAGCUGUUUCAUGGUGGUUCAAUGAUGGUGACUCAGACUUUAAAAUUAUAUAUCUUGGGGAAACUUCAAAUGCUCUUGUUCCAGGGGAAUUCACAUAUUUUAUCCUAGGUGGUGUUCUAGGACUUUUAGGAAGUUUUUCUAGUGAAUUAAUAAGCAAAGUAUACAAUUUUAAUAAAGAUGAGGUGACCAAGCUAACACAAAGCCAAACUGGGGUUACAAUAAUCAAGUUAGAAAAAGGCCAACCUAUGCCUAAGCCACAAAUGGACCUAACUAAAGACCUUGUUUAUGACAUUGAUGCUAAAGCCCCAGAAAUUAAGGAAAAAAAUGUGGGAUUAGUCACAAGCUUAACGGAGAAAGAUUUUCCUUUUAUUAAGGAUGUUGGGUUAAGUGUGAUUAGGGUUAAACUUGAACCUAAUGCUAUUAAGGCACCUUCAAACCUAAUUACCCCUGGGAUUCAGCUAAUUUACAUUGCUAGAGGAAGUGGAAAAAUUGAAAUUGUGGGAAUCAAUGGAAAACGUGUCUUGGAUUCUCAAGUUAAGC
Molecule: long non-coding RNA, 7744 nt
Filed under: Medicago truncatula (barrel medic)
Lineage: Eukaryota; Viridiplantae; Streptophyta; Magnoliopsida; Fabales; Fabaceae
Description: long non-coding RNA (MTRU_LNC006568)
Source: RNAcentral